CCUACGGGUGGCAGCAGUGGGGAAUAUUGCGCAAUGGGCGAAAGCCUGACGCAGCGACGCCGCGUGAGGGAUGAAGGUCUUCGGAUCGUAAACCUCUGUCAGCAGGGAAGAACGGUCACUGUGCUAAUCAGCAGUGAAUUGACGGUACCUGCAAAGGACGCACCGGCUAACUCCGUGCCAGCAGCCGCGGUAAUACGGAGGGUGCGAGCGUUAAUCGGAAUGACUGGGCGUAAAGCGCUCGUAGGAGGUAUGUCAAGUCAAGGGUGAAAUCCCCGGGCUCAACGUGGGAACUGCCUUUGAUACUGGCAAACUGGAGUGUGUGAGAGGAUAGUGGAAUUCCAGGUGUAGGAGUGAAAUCCGUAGAUAUCUGGAGGAACAACAGUGGCGAAGGCGACGAUCUGGCACAUAACUGACGCUGAGGAGCGAAAGCGUGGGUAGCAAACAGGAUUAGAUACCCUGGUAGUC
RNAcentral lists this ribosomal RNA (465 nucleotides) under uncultured bacterium. RNAcentral describes it as "partial 16S ribosomal RNA". It matches the Rfam family "Bacterial small subunit ribosomal RNA", at positions 338 to 795 of the family's 1533-position model. The record is from RNAcentral.